This 442-nucleotide ribosomal RNA is filed under the name uncultured bacterium. RNAcentral describes it as "partial 16S ribosomal RNA". It matches the Rfam family "Bacterial small subunit ribosomal RNA", at positions 338 to 795 of the family's 1533-position model. The record is from RNAcentral.
CCUACGGGAGGCAGCAGUAGGGAAUCUUUCACAAUGGGCGAAAGCCUGAUGGAGCAACGCCGCGUGCAGGAUGAAGGCCUUCGGGUUGUAAACUGCUUUUAUAAGCGAGAAAUAUGAUGGUAAAUUCUGAAUACGGAUCGGCUCCCUCCGCGCCAGCAGCCGCGGUCAUACGUAGGAUUCGAGCAUUAUCCGGAGUGACUGGGUGUAAAGAGUUGCGUAGGUGGCGUAAGAAGUAGCUAGUGAAAUCCGUUAGCUCAACCAUUCAGACUAUUAGCUAAACUGUUAAGCUCGAGACCGGUAGGGGCAACUGGAAUUUCUAGUGUAGGAGUGAAAUCCGUAGAUAUAAGAAGGAACACCAAUAGCGUAGGCAGGUUGCUGGGACGGGUCUGACACUAAGGCACGAAAGCGUAGGGAGCAAACGGGAUUAGAUACCCGAGUAGUC